RNAcentral lists this ribosomal RNA (253 nucleotides) under uncultured bacterium. RNAcentral describes it as "partial 16S ribosomal RNA". It matches the Rfam family "Bacterial small subunit ribosomal RNA", at positions 524 to 776 of the family's 1533-position model. The record is from RNAcentral.
UACGAAGGUCCCGAGCGUUGUUCGGAAUCACUGGGCGUAAAGGGAGCGUAGGCGGCGUGGUAAGUCAGAUGUGAAAUCCCGGGGCUCAACCCCGGAACUGCAUCCGAUACUGCCAUGCUAGAGGAUUGGAGAGGUAGCUGGAAUUCUUGGUGUAGCAGUGAAAUGCGUAGAGAUCAAGAGGAACACUCGUGGCGAAAGCGAGCUACUGGACAAUUCCUGACGCUGAGGCUCGAAGGCUAGGGUAGCGAACAGG